CGGUAAUACGGAGGAUCCAAGCGUUAUCCGGAAUCAUUGGAUUUGAAAGGCCCGUAGGCGGUCAGAUAAGUCAGUGGUGAAAGCCCAUCGCUCAACGGUAGAACGGCCAUUGAUACUGUCUGACUUGAAUUAUUAGGAAGUAACUAGAAUAUGUAGUGUAGCGGUGAAAUGCUUAGAGAUUACAUGGAAUACCAAUUGCGAAGGCAGGUUACUACUAAUUGAUUGACGCUGAUGGACGAAAGCGUAGGUAGCGAACAGAGUUAGAUACCCUGGUAGUCCACGCCGUAAACGAUGGAUACUAGUCGUUGGGAGCAAUCUCAGUGGCUAAGCGAAAGUGAUAAGUAUCCCACCUGGGGAGUACGUUCGCAAGAAUGAA
This 376-nucleotide ribosomal RNA is filed under the name uncultured bacterium. RNAcentral describes it as "bacterial SSU rRNA". It matches the Rfam family "Bacterial small subunit ribosomal RNA", at positions 518 to 898 of the family's 1533-position model. The record is from RNAcentral.